GCGGAUGUGGCGGAAUUGGUAGACGCGCUAGAUUUAGGUUCUAGUGUCUUUGGCGUAAGAGUUCGAGUCUCUUCAUCCGCA
Molecule: transfer RNA, 81 nt
Filed under: Hyella patelloides LEGE 07179
Lineage: Bacteria; Bacillati; Cyanobacteriota; Cyanophyceae; Pleurocapsales; Pleurocapsaceae
Also listed under: 4 other names
Description: Hyella sp. LEGE 07179 tRNA
Rfam family: tRNA
About the family: Transfer RNA (tRNA) molecules are approximately 80 nucleotides in length. Their secondary structure includes four short double-helical elements and three loops (D, anti-codon, and T loops). Further hydrogen bonds mediate the characteristic L-shaped molecular structure. tRNAs have two regions of fundamental functional importance: the anti-codon, which is responsible for specific mRNA codon recognition, and the 3' end, to which the tRNAs corresponding amino acid is attached (by aminoacyl-tRNA synthetases). tRNAs cope with the degeneracy of the genetic code in two manners: having more than one tRNA (with a specific anti-codon) for a particular amino acid; and 'wobble' base-pairing, i.e. permitting non-standard base-pairing at the 3rd anti-codon position.
Source: Rfam by way of RNAcentral